UGGGUCCACAGGCGAGAUAAA
This 21-nucleotide unclassified non-coding RNA is filed under the name Mus musculus (house mouse). RNAcentral's name for it is "oocyte_clustered_small_RNA4014". Lineage: Eukaryota; Metazoa; Chordata; Mammalia; Rodentia; Muridae. The record is from RNAcentral.